Molecule: ribosomal RNA, 279 nt
Filed under: uncultured bacterium
Lineage: Bacteria
Description: partial 16S ribosomal RNA
Rfam family: Bacterial small subunit ribosomal RNA
Source: RNAcentral
UGCCAGCCGCCGCGGUAAUACGGAAGGUGCAAGCGUUGUUCGGAAUUAUUGGGCGUAAAGCGCGUGUAGGCGGUUCGUUAAGUCUGAUGUGAAAGCCCCGGGCUUAACCUGGGAACUGCAUUCGAUACUGUCUAGCUAGAGUAUGGUAGAGGGAAGUGGAAUUCCGGGUGUAGCGGUGAAAUGCGUAGAUAUCCGGAGGAACACCAGUGGCGAAGGCGACUUCCUGGACCAAUACUGACGCUGAGGUGCGAAAGCGUGGGGAGCAAACAGGAUUAGAUA